This 496-nucleotide ribosomal RNA is filed under the name uncultured bacterium. RNAcentral's name for it is "partial 16S ribosomal RNA". It matches the Rfam family "Bacterial small subunit ribosomal RNA", at positions 28 to 507 of the family's 1533-position model. The record is from RNAcentral.
GAUGAACGCUGGCGGCGUGCCUAAUACAUGCAAGUCGAGCGAACAGACGAGGAGCUUGCUCCUCUGACGUUAGCGGCGGACGGGCGAGUAACACGUGGAUAACCUACCUAUAAGACUGGGAUAACUUCGGGAAACCGGAGCUAAUACCGGAUAAUAUAUUGAACCGCAUGGUUCAAUAGUGAAAGACGGUUUUGCUGUCACUUAUAGAUGGAUCCGCGCCGCAUUAGCUAGUUGGUAAGGUAACGGCUUACCAAGGCAACGAUGCGUAGCCGACCUGAGAGGUGAUCGGCCACACUGGAACUGAGACACGGUCCAGACUCCUACGGGAGGCAGCAGUAGGGAAUCUUCCGCAAUGGGCGAAAGCCUGACGGAGCAACGCCGCGUGAGUGAUGAAGGUCUUCGGAUCGUAAAACUCUGUUAUUAGGGAAGAACAAAUGUGUAAGUAACUAUGCACGUCUUGACGGUACCUAAUCAGAAAGCCACGGCUAACUACGUG